Molecule: non-coding RNA, 230 nt
Organism: Marchantia polymorpha subsp. ruderalis
Lineage: Eukaryota; Viridiplantae; Streptophyta; Marchantiopsida; Marchantiales; Marchantiaceae
Source: the annotation of a GenBank genome assembly
CUAGCCAAGGAGGUCCUCUCUUUGUCUGGAACACUCUUUGCUCUAGAUGAGUAUUAUUGAUUGUAUUGCGGAUACAAAGAUAUCCUUGCCCAGUCAAUACGAGCUACAGAGGAUGAUAAGGGAGUAUCGGAACUCUGAUACAGCAAAUGCUGUGAAUGGAGUGGUCUUCAACGAAAACAUCAAACUCCACCAAAGAGUGUCCUUGACAAAGAAAGAACCUCCUUGGCUAG